ACACGUAGGGGGCGAGCGUUGUUCGGAAUCAUUGGGCGUAAAGGGCGUGCAGGCGGUCCUGCAAGUCCGGCGUGAAAGACCCCGGCCCAACCGGGGGGACGCGCUGGAAACUGCAGGGCUUGAGUACAGGAGGGGAUGCCGGAAUUCCAGGUGUAGGGGUGAAAUCUGUAGAUAUCUGGAAGAACACCAAUGGCGAAGGCAGGCAUCUGGCCAUGUACUGACGCUGAGACGCGAAGGUGCGGGGAGCAAACAGGUUUAGAUACCCUGGUAGUCCGCACAGUAAACUAUGUGCACCAGGUGGCGGGGGGUCGACCCCCGGUACCGUAGCUAACGCAUUAAGUGCACCGCCUGGGGAGUAUGCUCGCAAGGGUGAAACUCAAAGGAAUUGACGGGG
This 394-nucleotide ribosomal RNA is filed under the name uncultured bacterium. RNAcentral describes it as "partial 16S ribosomal RNA". It matches the Rfam family "Bacterial small subunit ribosomal RNA", at positions 523 to 918 of the family's 1533-position model. The record is from RNAcentral.